CGUAUUAACUGUUCGAUAUCACAUACCAUAUAUCUAAGCGACAUCUUGCGAAACAAAAAAACAGCAAAGGUACAAAAAGUUGGCGGAAGAAAAAAAAAAUAAUAAUAAUAAUAAUAAUCAGAACAAACCCUAUAGGUCUUUCAACUGAAAAGUUGAAAGACCUAAUAAUCAGAAGAAAUCCAAUAGGUCUUUCCACGGAAAAGUGGAAAGACCUAAUUAAAAACCAAUUAAUCAGAAAACAAUUGAAGGUCUUUC
This 255-nucleotide long non-coding RNA is filed under the name Mytilus galloprovincialis (Mediterranean mussel). The record is from RNAcentral. Lineage: Eukaryota; Metazoa; Mollusca; Bivalvia; Mytilida; Mytilidae.